AAAUUGAAGAGUUUGAUCAUGGCUCAGAUUGAACGCUGGGGGCAGGCCUAACACAUGCAAGUCGAACGGUAACAGGAAGCAGCUUGCUGCUUUGCUGACGAGUGGCGGACGGGUGAGUAAUGUCUGGGAAACUGCCUGAUGGAGGGGGAUAACUACUGGAAACGGUGGCUAAUACCGCAUAACGUCGCAAGACCAAAGAGGGGGACCUUCGGGCCUCUUGCCAUCAGAUGUGCCCAGAUGGGAUUAGCUAGUUGGUGAGGUAACGGCUCACCAAGGCGACGAUCCCUAGCUGGUCUGAGAGGAUGGCCAG
Molecule: ribosomal RNA, 310 nt
Filed under: Salmonella enterica
Lineage: Bacteria; Pseudomonadati; Pseudomonadota; Gammaproteobacteria; Enterobacterales; Enterobacteriaceae
Description: bacterial SSU rRNA
Rfam family: Bacterial small subunit ribosomal RNA
Source: RNAcentral